GCCUAUUUCUGUAUUCCUUCCCCACUCGAUCUCAAAAUAUAUAUAUAUGACAUAUAUAUUACACCCCAUAAUAAUAAUAAAACCCUGCCCCGUUUUAAGUGUUGUAAUCCCUGGUCACUGAUGCCCUGUCCGACUGACGUAGGACCCCAUAACGUAUGUCAAGGCUCUGCCUAAAUUCGUUAGGGUUCUGUCCCGUGACGUAGGGAUAAUGUGGAAUUGGGUUACUAUACUUAUUGUGAGUACAUUAUAUAUUUUAUUAAAUAGUCCAGGAGUUGUACCCAAAAUAUAACAAACCUCCCGAAUAUUUUUCUGACACCCUACACUUCCUAAAAUACACCCCGUACGUGAAAACCAAGCCGAAAUACAAUAUAGUAUUAAAAAUAAAUAAAGAACAAGAAAUAAUAAGUUGAGGCGGGCCGCAUAGACCCACUCUAACCUUUAACGCAGGCCGCAUUAAGGUGUAACCGGACUCCGCUGGAAUCUUUAGUUCAUGCGGGCCGCGUAAGAUAUCGUUAAGUUAACGCGGGCCGCGAGAGAUCGAAGUUGUGGCGCAGCCCGGUGAUGACACGUGUCAUCAUCGUGACGGGUCUAGGGGGUGAGCCGGACAAGCUAGUCCGUUGACCAGGAUUGACGCGGGCCGCAUAAUCCCUGUCCAUUCUUUACGCGGGCCGCGUGGGAACCAGUUUCAGCAACUAUAUAAGGAACGCAUCGGAUUUCAAUUCAGUUUGUUCAUUUGUCAAUUCUCAAAUCACAAUUUCUGUAGUAGGCUUAUUAUACUCGGGUAUUAUACCCCUAAUUAGCGAAGCUCUGCCUCGUUAUUAUAACCAGGAAGCCACAAAGGAAAUACCUAAAAUAGCAAUGUAACACAAUGUGAAAGCCAAUUAUAAUAGAGCCAGCUCGAGAGUACUGACGGCUUGGAAGAACGUGGCUAUAAAAGUUACCUUAAAGACGAUGUUUUAAAUUCAAUAAAAUAAGGGUUAUCCCUAUAAACAUGUUGUAAUAAAAAUCUUGGGUUUUACCCAUGUGAUUAUAAAAUAAAAUAUGGUGGUUUUACUCUGAUAAAA
Long non-coding RNA from Helianthus annuus (common sunflower), 1064 nucleotides. RefSeq lists it as uncharacterized. The record is from RefSeq and is a predicted model, not a curated record. Lineage: Eukaryota; Viridiplantae; Streptophyta; Magnoliopsida; Asterales; Asteraceae. The transcript has 3 exons.